GAAUGAUGUGAUGAUUUUGGUUUGAUUUCCAGUGUGAUGGCAUCGACCUUGUGUAUUCGCUCUAUCUGAUCAUUC
Cornus florida is the source of this 75-nucleotide small nucleolar RNA. RefSeq annotates it as small nucleolar RNA Z102/R77. The transcript has a single exon. Lineage: Eukaryota; Viridiplantae; Streptophyta; Magnoliopsida; Cornales; Cornaceae. The record is from RefSeq and is a predicted model, not a curated record.